Molecule: ribosomal RNA, 459 nt
Filed under: uncultured bacterium
Lineage: Bacteria
Description: partial 16S ribosomal RNA
Rfam family: Bacterial small subunit ribosomal RNA
Source: RNAcentral
CCUACGGGAGGCAGCAGUGAGGAAUAUUGGUCAAUGGCCGCAAGGCUGAACCAGCCAAGUCGCGUGAGGGAUGACGGUCCUAUGGAUUGUAAACCUCUUUUGUCAGGGAGCAAAGGGCGCCACGUGUGGCGCUUUGCGAGUACCUGAAGAAAAAGCAUCGGCUAACUCCGUGCCAGCAGCCGCGGUAAUACGGAGGAUGCGAGCGUUAUCCGGAUUUAUUGGGUUUAAAGGGUGCGCAGGCGGAAUGUAAAGUCAGCGGUAAAAUUUCGGGGCUCAACCCCGUCGUGCCGUUGAAACUGGCGUUCUUGAGUGAGCGAGAAGUAUGCGGAAUGCGUGGUGUAGCGGUGAAAUGCAUAGAUAUCACGCAGAACUCCGAUUGCGAAGGCAGCAUACCGGCGCUCAACUGACGCUCAUGCACGAAAGCGUGGGUAUCGAACAGGAUUAGAUACCCCAGUAGUC